CGGACGGGUGAGUAACACGUAGGUAACCUGCCCAGAAGCGGGGGACAACAUUUGGAAACAGAUGCUAAUACCGCAUAACARCGUUGUUCGCAUGAACAACGCUUAAAAGAUGGCUUCUCGCUAUCACUUCUGGAUGGACCUGCGGUGCAUUAGCUUGUUGGUGGGGUAAYGGCCUACCAAGGCGAUGAUGCAUAGCCGAGUUGAGAGACUGAUCGGCCACAAUGGGACUGAGACACGGCCCAUACUCCUACGGGAGGCAGCAGUAGGGAAUCUUCCACAAUGGGCGCAAGCCUGAUGGAGCAACACCGCGUGAGUGAAGAAGGGUUUCGGCUCGUAAAGCUCUGUUGUUAAAGAAGAACACGUAUGAGAGUAACUGUUCAUACGUUGACGGUAUUUAACCAGAAAGUCACGGCUAACUACGUGCCAGCAGCCGCGGUAAUACGUAGGUGGCAAGCGUUAUCCGGAUUUAUUGGGCGUAAAGAGAGUGCAGGCGGUUUUCUAAGUCUGAUGUGAAAGCCUUCGGCUUAACCGGAGAAGUGCAUCGGAAACUGGAUAACUUGAGUGCAGAAGAGGGUAGUGGAACUCCAUGUGUAGCGGUGGAAUGCGUAGAUAUAUGGAAGAACACCAGUGGCGAAGGCGGCUACCUGGUCUGCAACUGACGCUGAGACUCGAAAGCAUGGGUAGCGAACAGGAUUAGAUACCCUGGUAGUCCAUGCCGUAAACGAUGAGUGCUAGGUGUUGGAGGGUUUCCGCCCUUCAGUGCCGGAGCUAACGCAUUAAGCACUCCGCCUGGGGAGUACGACCGCAAGGUUGAAACUCAAAGGAAUUGACGGGGGCCCGCACAAGCGGUGGAGCAUGUGGUUUAAUUCGAAGCUACGCGAAGAACCUUACCAGGUCUUGACAUCUUGCGCCAACCCUAGAGAUAGGGCGUUUCCUUCGGGAACGCAAUGACAGGUGGUGCAUGGUCGUCGUCAGCUCGUGUCGUGAGAUGU
Molecule: ribosomal RNA, 992 nt
Filed under: Limosilactobacillus fermentum
Lineage: Bacteria; Bacillati; Bacillota; Bacilli; Lactobacillales; Lactobacillaceae
Description: bacterial SSU rRNA
Rfam family: Bacterial small subunit ribosomal RNA
Source: RNAcentral